GACGAACGCUGGCGGCGUGCCUAAUACAUGCAAGUAGAACGCUGCAGGCGGAGCUUGCUUCUCUGGAUGAGUUGCGACCGGGUGAGUAACGCGUAGGUAACCUGUCUGGUAGCGGGGGAUAACUAUUUGACACGAUAGCUAAUCCCGCAUAAGAGUAGAUGUUGCAUGACAUUUGCUUAAAAGGUGCAAUUGUAUCACUACUAGAUGGCUCUGCGUUGUAUUAGCUAGUUAGUGGGGUAACGGCUCACCAAGCCGACGAUACGUAGCCGACCUGAGAGGGUAAGAGGCAACGCUGGGACGAAGGCACGGCCCAGAACCCUAGGAGUGGCAGCAGGAGGGAAUCUUCGGCGAUGGAAGGAGGGGUGAACAAGCAACGCCGCGUGAGUGAAGAAGGUUUUCGGGUCGUAAAGCUGUGGUGGGAGAGAGGAACGUGAGUGAGAGUGGAAAGGGCACACAGUGACGGUAUCGUACCAGAAAGAGACGGCUAACUACGUG
This 495-nucleotide ribosomal RNA is filed under the name uncultured bacterium. RNAcentral's name for it is "partial 16S ribosomal RNA". It matches the Rfam family "Bacterial small subunit ribosomal RNA", at positions 28 to 507 of the family's 1533-position model. The record is from RNAcentral.